This 482-nucleotide ribosomal RNA is filed under the name uncultured bacterium. RNAcentral describes it as "partial 16S ribosomal RNA". It matches the Rfam family "Bacterial small subunit ribosomal RNA", at positions 28 to 507 of the family's 1533-position model. The record is from RNAcentral.
GAUGAACGCUGGCGGCGUGCCUAAUACAUGCAAGUCGAACGCUUCACUUCGGUGAAGAGUGGCGAACGGGUGCGUAAUACAUAAGUAACCUGGCAUCUACAGGGGGAUAACUGAUGGAAACGUCAGCUAAGACCGCAUAGGUGUAGAGAUCGCAUGAACUCUAUAUGAAAAGUGCUACGGGACUGGUAGAUGAUGGACUUAUGGCGCAUUAGCUUGUUGGUAGGGUAACGGCCUACCAAGGCGACGAUGCGUAGCCGACCUGAGAGGGUGACCGGCCACACUGGGACUGAGACACGGCCCAGACUCCUACGGGAGGCAGCAGUAGGGAAUUUUCGGCAAUGGGGGAAACCCUGACCGAGCAACGCCGCGUGAAGGAAGAAGUAAUUCGGUAUGUAAACUUCUGUCAUAGAGGAAGAACGGUGGAUAUAGGGAAUGAUAUCCAAGUGACGGUACUCUAUAAGAAAGCCACGGCUAACUACGUG